GACGAACGCUGGCGGCGUGCUUAACACAUGCAAGUCGAACGGAAAGGCCCUGCUUUUGUGGGGUGCUCGAGUGGCGAACGGGUGAGUAACACGUGUGUAACCUGCCCUUGACUUUGGGAUAACUUCAGGAAACUGGGGCUAAUACCGGAUAGGAGCUCCUGCAGCAUGGUGGGGGUUGGAAAGUUUCGGCGGUUGGGGAUGGACUCGCGGCUUAUCAGCUUGUUGGUGGGGUAGUGGCUUACCAAGGCUUUGACGGGGAGCCGGCCUGGGCGGGUGACCGGCCACAUUGGGACUGAGAUACGGCCCAGACUCCUACGGGAGGCAGCAGUGGGGAAUACUGCACAAUGGGCGGAAGCCUGAUGCAGCAACGCCGCGUGGGGGAUGACGGCCUUCGGGUUGUAAACCGCUUUCGCCUGUGACGAAGCGUGAGUGACGGUAAUGGAUAAAGAAGCACCGGCUAACUACGUG
This 468-nucleotide ribosomal RNA is filed under the name uncultured bacterium. RNAcentral's name for it is "partial 16S ribosomal RNA". It matches the Rfam family "Bacterial small subunit ribosomal RNA", at positions 28 to 507 of the family's 1533-position model. The record is from RNAcentral.